CUUAAUUAUCAGUAUUUAAUAUUAAGAGCUUGCCCUUAAACAUUUAAUUCAUCCGUCGCAUUGAGUUGAGUUGAUGACACCGAGUAGAAAUGCAUCCUCACUCUGAGUGCACAUGGAGAAAAAUCAAAAUAACAAAUUGCAGACAAAAAAACUGUUAACCUGUCUGGCGAAACUCACCACACCAUCGUUAUGGGAGCAAUAUUACAAUAUGUAUGCAUGUCUGAAGCAAAAAUCUAAAAAGCAAUUAUUAAGACGUAUUUUAUGCUGGUUCACCUAUAGUGUUUGAAUAUUGGUUCAAACAUACAUAAGUGUACGCGUUGCGCAGUUUGCAUUGAUGACGCAGCAACAAAAACACAAUGGCAAAGCCAAUAGCAUGACAAUAACAGCGACUGCUCUCAAUCCCUCUCUCUCAAUGGCUCUCUCACUCUCUCGCACAGUUUACGUGUGACUACAAUAUGGCGUCGUUGAAAUUGUGUCGUCGCCUCAUUUAAACAGCAACAAUCCGAAUGUAAAUAAAUGUUAGUUUGCUAAGUGCACAGUA
Molecule: long non-coding RNA, 541 nt
Organism: Drosophila innubila
Lineage: Eukaryota; Metazoa; Arthropoda; Insecta; Diptera; Drosophilidae
Exons: 2
Source: RefSeq, a predicted model, not a curated record